GGGGCUGGGGCUCCCGGGCGCCAGAACCCCGGGCGGGCGCGGCGCAGAGGCCGGGCGAGCGGCGGGGAGGAAAAGGCGCGCCCCGGGCGCGGGUGGGAGCGCGCGAGGGGGCGCGGGGGAGCGGCUGCGAGCAGCAGGCGUGGGAGGGAGAGGGGCUGUGGGAGAGCGUGGACGGGGUGUGCGCAAGGUGGACCGGAUGUGCGAGCGCGGCUGCCGGGGCGAGCGGGAAGCUCCUUUACACAGGUCUGACCCUCUUCUGCACACCUUUAACUGCUGCCUCAAGUUUGGUUCUAACCCCGUGAAUCUCCUGUAACCGUGGUACUCUACCCUCUACUCUAAGUAUCCAUCCUCAUUGCCAAGAUUCCUGCUUCUACACCCCAAUGCCACAUGGGAUCAUUGUAUUUGAUGGACCUACAAUUCCAGUUAUCCCACCUUCCUGGAUAUAGCAAUUUGUACAGAUGACUAACCAUGUGCAAGCCAGACUCUCCCUCAGAGGAAGACUGGCCCUGAGCUAAAAUCCGUGACCAUCUUCGUCUACUUUAUACGUGGGAUGCCUACCACAGCAUAGCUUUUCCCAAGCAGUGCCAUGUCUGCACCCGGGAUCCGAACCGGCGAACCCCAGGCUGCCGAGAAGCGGAACGUACGAACUUAACUGCUGUGCCAUGGGGCCAGUCCCUGUCUUUCUGUUGUUGAUUUCUAGUUUAAAUCCAUUGUGAUCUGAGAGCAGAUAUUUAAUGAUUUCUAUUUUUAAAAAUAAGUUUAAUUUGU
RNAcentral lists this long non-coding RNA (768 nucleotides) under Equus asinus (donkey). Its description in RNAcentral is "lncRNA (ENSEASG00005025334.1)". Lineage: Eukaryota; Metazoa; Chordata; Mammalia; Perissodactyla; Equidae. The record is from RNAcentral.